This 328-nucleotide small RNA is filed under the name Histoplasma capsulatum. RNAcentral's name for it is "hypothetical RNA". Lineage: Eukaryota; Fungi; Ascomycota; Eurotiomycetes; Onygenales; Ajellomycetaceae. RNAcentral also lists the same sequence under 1 other name. The record is from RNAcentral.
AUCUUCUCUAUAUUUAUUACCACCUUCAAGCUCAAUUAUCUUCUUAACAUGCACUGGAAUCUGUUCAAUCCAUGCCUGUAUAUUCAACUGUGACAGCUCCUUCCAUGUCUUCUCCCACAUCUUAACAGCCUCUGCUUGUGAUUUUGGAGCACCCUUCUGUGUUGUUUUUCUCUUCAUCCGGGGCCAGGCAGCUUCAAUUGCAUUCAAAUCUGAUGAGCUUCCACAUCAGAGCAGCUGUUGAAUGUCAUGAGCUUUAUAGAUAUAAGUUCAGAGCCACUAUCACAGCACAGGUUUAGAUAUCUGUAUUGAGAGCCAUAUUGAAAAUAAA